RNAcentral lists this ribosomal RNA (253 nucleotides) under uncultured bacterium. Its description in RNAcentral is "partial 16S ribosomal RNA". It matches the Rfam family "Bacterial small subunit ribosomal RNA", at positions 524 to 776 of the family's 1533-position model. The record is from RNAcentral.
UACGUAGGGUGCGAGCGUUAAUCGGAAUUACUGGGCGUAAAGUGUGCGCAGGCGGCCGAGCAAGUCGAGUGUGAAAGCCCCGGGCUUAACUUGGGAAUUGCGCUCGAAACUACUUGGCUGGAGUGUGGCAGAGGAAGGUGGAAUUCCAGGUGUAGCGGUGAAAUGCGCAGAUAUCAGGAAGAACACCUAUGGCGAAGGCAGCUCUCUGGGCCUUACCUGACGCUGAGGAGCGAAAGCGUGGGGAGCGAACAGG